RNAcentral lists this ribosomal RNA (467 nucleotides) under uncultured bacterium. RNAcentral's name for it is "partial 16S ribosomal RNA". It matches the Rfam family "Bacterial small subunit ribosomal RNA", at positions 29 to 507 of the family's 1533-position model. The record is from RNAcentral.
ACGAACGCUGGCGGCGUGCUUAACACAUGCAAGUCGAACGGAAAGGCCCUGCUUUUGUGGGGUGCUCGAGUGGCGAACGGGUGAGUAACACGUGAGUAACCUGCCCUUGACUUUGGGAUAACUUCAGGAAACUGGGGCUAAUACCGGAUAGGAGCUCCUGCUGCAUGGUGGGGGUUGGAAAGUUUCGGCGGUUGGGGAUGGACUCGCGGCUUAUCAGCUUGUUGGUGGGGUAGUGGCUUACCAAGGCUUUGACGGGUAGCCGGCCUGAGAGGGUGACCGGCCACAUUGGGACUGAGAUACGGCCCAGACUCCUACGGGAGGCAGCAGUGGGGAAUAUUGCACAAUGGGCGGAAGCAUGAUGCAGCAACGCCGCGUGCGGGAUGACGGCCUUCGGGUUGUAAACCGCUUUCGCCUGUGACGAAGCGUGAGUGACGGUAAUGGGUAAAGAAGCACCGGCUAACUACGUG